AAUGAAGGUGAAAGUGAAAAUAGUUUCCGUCUCUCAGACAGAGUCACUGCGCCAUUACACUUCCUGCUGUAACGGACUGAUACAGGAGGAAUAUAUGUGUAUAUGUAGACAGGGGACAUUUUAAACACGGUGUUUAAACCCUAAUGAGUUAAAUACCGAAUAUGUGGCGCUCUGAAAUGUGGAAACACUUCAGUUAAAGUAUCAGAUGUGUUUAUAUGAGGAACAGGAAAGGAUUGUAUUAGUCUGAAUCUGAGAUAAAGAUGGCGACUGCAAGCAAUGAGUUUAAACUCAUUGGUCCCAGUGAUAGAGAGUGGUAUAAAUACCUUGCUGUCACUCUCUCAUGUCGUCUGUCUCCUGAAAUCAGUGCUGUUGACUUGGAGAUCCGGUGGUUUAAGGAGACAGACUGUGUUUGUGUUUAUAAGAACAGUAAGGUGACAGAGGGGAGAGGUUAUGAGGGCAGAGUGAGUCUGUUCACUCAGGAGCUGGAGAGAGGAAACGUCUCCUUACAGCUGAGAGACUGUACAGGGUCAGAUUAUGGAUAUUACCUCUGUCAGGUCACUGAUGGAGACAGAACAGAAGAGAUUACAGUAUAUAUGUACUCGGUAAGUAAAUAACUCGACUUCACACUAAUAGUAAAAGCUGAUAUUUUAUAAACUUAUCACAUAUAUUACAUUUUAAUCCAGGAAUCAAAUAGAAACAUAAAGAUGAUUUUCAGAUCAUGUUUAUGUGAAGGAGUCUGAUCAGUAAGUGAGAUUCCACUUCCAUCAGUCAGCUUCUUUCCCACAAUGCACCUGUGUGUAACCUCACUGCAGUGUAAUAAUGUACAGAGACGUUUACCGUGUCGAGUAAAAGACACAACAAACACACAGCAUAUAACACACACCACUGACAGACUCCAUCAGAAUGUUACACAAUAAACAUAAAUCACAGCUUUAACAGUUUUCAGUGUUUGUAGACAGAAUAAUUGUCAUCAGUCGCUCUGCGUAACAAUCACACCAUGUUUUGUAAAAGCACUGAAGAGUCGACUCGGCCUGGCGUUUAGUGUCUUUAAGCUAACGGUAGUAAGUCGUGUUAAUGCACACAGCAUAAAGACAACCUGACUGACCUGAGAACAGAAGUCCUUCACUUCAUUUCUAAAACUUCCUUCAUAGGAGAGAGGGAUUUGGGAGUGAAAGAGAGAAAAACAGAAGGAGAUCACGCAUCUUCUCUAAUCUACUGCGACAUGUCACAUGCUGUCGUAACCAGUAUAUAGACGAGGCAGCAGUAAAGAACAUCAUUCUGUUAUCUGUUCAGGUUUUACAUUGAUAAAUGUCUGUGUUUAUAAUUAAAGGAAGUGAGAAUCUGA
Tachysurus fulvidraco (yellow catfish) is the source of this 1345-nucleotide RNA transcript. It is a transcript of the gene named butyrophilin-like protein 2, with no coding region annotated. The record is from RefSeq and is a predicted model, not a curated record. The transcript is spliced from 4 exons. Lineage: Eukaryota; Metazoa; Chordata; Actinopteri; Siluriformes; Bagridae.